Molecule: long non-coding RNA, 286 nt
Organism: Ailuropoda melanoleuca (giant panda)
Lineage: Eukaryota; Metazoa; Chordata; Mammalia; Carnivora; Ursidae
Exons: 3
Source: RefSeq, a predicted model, not a curated record
GGGUGGACGGCAAGGGUUCCAGGGGCUCCUGAAAUCAGUGCUGCCGUGUGUAAUGAGAAAGGCUUUGGCUGAGGUCACGGAGCACGAUGACAUCUGAGGUGCUCAUCGUAGGAGCUUUAUCUCCAUUGUACAGACAACGGACACACAGAGAGGGGCACUGCAACCCGGAUUCAGAAUCCAUCAGCCACCAACUUCCAAGACCUGUGCGAGUGACCUGAGGGAGACCCAGCCCCGGAGCAGGGCAGGGGAGCCAGUGAUAAACCAGUGCGCCCCCGAGGGGGCCCCC